AAUCUUAUAUUUUAUAUAAAAAAUUUUAAAUUGCAAAUUUAAAGAAAUAAAUUAAAAUUAAUUUAUUAAGAUUU
Molecule: transfer RNA, 74 nt
Filed under: Stenocephus fraxini
Lineage: Eukaryota; Metazoa; Arthropoda; Insecta; Hymenoptera; Cephidae
Description: tRNA-Cys
Source: RNAcentral